Molecule: small nuclear RNA, 87 nt
Filed under: Mus caroli (Ryukyu mouse)
Lineage: Eukaryota; Metazoa; Chordata; Mammalia; Rodentia; Muridae
Description: snRNA (MGP_CAROLIEiJ_G0034968.1)
Source: RNAcentral
AUGCUUUGGCAGCACGUAUGCUAAACUUGGAACGAUACAGAGAUCAGCGUGGAAGACGUGGGAAUUCAUGAAGGGGUCCAUAUUCUU